GACACUUGAAAAUUAGGUGUACAUGUAUUCUUUCGUUGAACUCUCUGUCUUUUCUUGAUGGCUCAAUGGGGGCAAGUCCUUCGUGUCAAAUUGAGGUCUUUGAUGGAAUGAUUGUCAUUUCUUUAAUAAGAGGCUUAAUAUUCAAAGUUGAAGGCUCCAAUUCUAAGUCAAGUUGAAUUUAUCAAGUCUAUUACAUCAUCAAUUUGAAGUAUCCAAGCCCGCUAGGUCUUAAAGUUACAAUAUUCAAGUCCGCCAAGUCUUCAAAUCCAUAAAGUAUUAAAAAUAACUCACUUAUUAUAAACUGCAUAAUGACUUGAUCCUCUUCACCGAGAUUGGUAUCUUCGAGACAAUUAUAGUCUUUAGCAGGCUGCAAAAUUUUCAAGUUGAAUCAUCAAGUUAAAGUCUUCAAAUCCACUAAGUCUUCAAGUUGAAGUCUUCAAAUCUGUCAAGUCUUCAAGUAGAAGCCUUCAAGUCUUCCAUGCCUUCAAGUUGAAAUCUGCAAGUUAAAUUCUUCCGAGCACCAAGUCUUCAAUUGAAAGCCAAUAAGAAGCCCCCAUAAUAGUCUUGAAAUCUUCAAAUUGAUAUAACCUUCAAUUCUUUAGUUGGAAGUUUCAGUAUAUCUCCAAGUGUAUGGUAAAAACCUUUGAUAUAGCCUGCGCCAUCUUUAAAUAUUUAUAUCUUGAAUUCUUUGAAGGAAAGUUAUAAUAUAUCUCAAAUCUCCAACUAAAAGUAUUUAAAAUGUUGGGUUGCAUGACUUGAUUUAUGUUGCAAAAAAAAUCUUUGGAAGUGAUUUCUUCUUCUACCUGCAAAAAAAAAGGAGAAAUAUAUCUAUAUAAAGGAGAUCAUAAAAUUACAUGUAAAGAUUGAAAUUGUAGAGAUAUUCUUGGUGGUCAGUUUUUUUCAUGCUUCAUACAAUCUCUUAUUCAUGCAUCUCGAAAUGAGGACAAGUUCCCGUUCCUUUGCACUAAAAGGUCAAAUCUUUUGGCGGUAAAGUAAAAUCUGCAAGUUAGACUCUAUAAUGAUCUUCACUGGUCUUCGCCUUAGAUAAAAUAUAAUCUUCAGCUUAGACGGUGUAAUGGUCUUAGCCUCAGACAAAGUAAAGUGUUCAGCUUAGACGGUUGUCUUCGCCUUUGCAAAAUAUAGUGUUCAGCUUAGCCGGUGUAAUAGACUUUGCCUCGUAUAAAGUAAAGUCUUUGACUCGGACGGUGUAAUGGUCUUCAUCUCAGAUAAAGAAAAUUUUUGUCUCAGACGGUGUAAUGAUCUUUACCUCAGACAAAAUAAAAUCUUUGGCUCAGACGGUGUAAUGGUCUUCGCCUCAUAUGAAGAAAAGUCAAAUUUGUAAAUAAAGUAAGAUCUUUAGCUUAGACGGUGUAAUGGUCUUCACUUCAGACAAUAAAUCUUUGGCUUAGACGGUGUAAUGAUCUUUGCUUAAGAUAAACUAAAAUCUUUGGCUUAGACGGUGUAAUGAUCUAUGCCUCAGAUAAAAUGAAGUUAGAUCUUCAAACAAGAUAAAGUCAUUAGCUUAGACGGUGUAAUGGUCUUCGUUUAAGACAAAAUAAAAUAUUUGGCUCAAAUGGUGUAAUGGUUUUCGCUUUAGACAAAAUAAAGUCUUCGGCUUAGACAAUGUAAUGGUCUUCGCCUCAGACAAAGUAAAAUCUUUGGCUCAGACAGUAUAAUGGUCUUCGCCUCAGAUAAAGUAAAGUCAAAUCUUUAAAUAAAGUAAGAUCUUUAGCUCAGACAGUGUAAUAGUCUUCGCUUCAGACAAAAUAAAUCUUUGGCUCAAACGGUGUAAUGGUCUUCGCCUCAAAUAAAUGUAAAAUCGUUGGCUUAGUCGGUGUAAUGGUCUUUGCCACAAAUAAAGAAAGUUAAAUUUUCAAAUAAAAUGAAGUCUUCGGCCAAGACAGUAUAAUGGUCUUCGCUUCAGACAAAAUAAAUCUUUGGCUCAGACGGUGUAAUGGUCUUCGCCUCAGAUAAAAAAAAAAAUCUUUGGCUUAGACGGUGUAAUGGUCUUUGCCACAAAUAAAAAAAAUCAAAUUUUUAAAUAAAAUGAAGUCUUUGGCCAAGACGGUAUAAUGGUCUUCGCCUCAAAUAAAAUAAAGUGUUUGGAUUAAAUAGUGUAAUAGCCUAAGCCUCGGACAAAGUAAGGUCCUCGCCUAGCACAACAUAAUGAAUUUUCCUCAACUAGAAUGAUUCCUUCGCCAGAAUGAGUAAAAUUCGGAGAAAGUAAAUCCUAAAACCACUUUAACAUUGGCUUCUCUCCAAGAAAUUCUAGUUACUUCAUAUUUGCUUCUCUUGACCUCUGGCCAAAAAGGGAGAUCUAGGUAAAAAAAAAUUAAAGUACCUGCUUCCGUUUGAAUGAGAAAAGUUUAGCGGCAAUAUAAGAUGUGCUCUAGAGACCUGCAAAAGAAGAGUCUUGUUUUAUCAUCACCAAAAUGCUUCUACGAAAUAAUGUAAGAAAAGAAGCAAUACAUGGAAGCACAUGGUGUCUAAUGCAAUAUAAUUUCAGGUGAGGGCAUAAGAUGGUUAAAAAAAACCUUGUUUCAAAGACAAAAACAGUAGCAUUUUGCUCGACAUCAAAACUCUUAUACUACUUUUGUAAUGUUAAACCUUCAUUUGGCAGUAUGAGGCAUAUGGUCCGCAUGAAUUAUUUUGUCAAUUUUUAAGCAAUUUUUGAAUGUUGCAAAAAAGAAAAGAGCAACUUACCUCAAAGAAUGGUACUUCUCCAGCCAAACUGUUACGAGUCAAGACUUUAUCGGAGUUCAGAUAAUACGUCUAACAAUGAUAUUGUUCCCUAUUUAUAGAAUGAGCUGACAGUGGUUGACUCCUAC
This 2828-nucleotide long non-coding RNA is filed under the name Nicotiana tabacum (common tobacco). RNAcentral describes it as "long non-coding RNA (NTAB_LNC002198)". Lineage: Eukaryota; Viridiplantae; Streptophyta; Magnoliopsida; Solanales; Solanaceae. The record is from RNAcentral.